GCAUUUUCUCAGCGCGAUACGCGGCAGGAAUACAGUCACAUCGUAUCACCCUCGUUCUCUCGUUCCCCACCGCCCCUGUUCCUUCUCUUCUCGUUCCCCAUCUCCAUCUCCAUCGAAUCCAGCGCACCGCCGGCUCCCUCCUCCACCACCAUGGCCACUCACCGCCGGGUCGCUCCUCCAUGGCCUCGAGCCCUCUCCCCUGUGACGUUCUUCUUCACCCAUAGGCGAUUGUUCUCCACCCACGCCCCGCUGCCUCUAUCGUCAGAUCCGCCAUCGAGGUAAGAUGGAACAGCAUGCCAGCAUGACUACCUCAUCGCCAUCGAGCCUCCUGGUGAGAGGAUGCCGAGCAUCGACGAACAACGAGCAGCAGCAUCACCACCACUGUGAGCAGAUCGGUGAUGGAGAUCUACGCAUUAAGGCAGUGAGGAGUCAAGCGGCUCGGCGGCAAAGCCCAGACACACACCUUCCACAAGCACGCCAGUGGUCAAGAGCUCCAACUCAUCUUUGCCGUCUUCCUCGGAGGUAUCAGCGAUCCAUCUACUUGUUUUUUUUAAACAAGAUUUUUGUUCUUUUCUCAAUCUUUCGAUAUGCAUCUGAUUUCGUGUGUGAUAGUGGUUUUUAUGUGAUGGAUUUUUCACCCAGCACACUUAGGCCUUGUUCGGUUGCACAGGGUUUGAGGGGGAUUAAAGGGGAUUGUGAGGGAUUACAUCCCCUCUUUCGGCAAAUGACUGCUCUUGUUUUGCCCCUCUCCAUAAACAGGAAAACGGAUUGAUGUUAAUGUACUUUUGCAAUUCAUAGUUUGCUGGAAGAAACAAGGACCUUUUUGAUGGCUAUCUCUGGAUUCUUUGGCUACUGUAAUUAUUAUGGCCUCAGUUUUGUACAUGAAACAUACUGAUUUGGUGAAGAACUAUUUGGGGAUAUUUUCUGAAGAAUGAUCUAACAAUAAUUUGGAAUGA
Molecule: long non-coding RNA, 956 nt
Organism: Triticum dicoccoides
Lineage: Eukaryota; Viridiplantae; Streptophyta; Magnoliopsida; Poales; Poaceae
Exons: 2
Source: RefSeq, a predicted model, not a curated record